Molecule: long non-coding RNA, 965 nt
Organism: Solanum lycopersicum (tomato)
Lineage: Eukaryota; Viridiplantae; Streptophyta; Magnoliopsida; Solanales; Solanaceae
Source: RefSeq, a predicted model, not a curated record
UCAACUCUAACCUAUUCAAUUCAAAUCUUAUUUCAACUUUAGACAAUUCAUUCCAAUUUUCAAAUUUCCAAUUCCAAUUGAUCUCAACCUUGAUCAAAUCCCAACAUUUGGUUACUUUGAUCGGACAAACUAGAUCAAGCCCAUCCUUUAUUUCCCAUUCAAGACCUAAAAAGGACAGAAAACCCUAAAAAUUAUCUUUGCUCUUUCCCCUUUGCGCAGUAUCUCCUCAUUCCCUUCUCCCUGUGCAUACUCUCUGGCCAAUGAAACUGAUGAAGCGGCCACCUGGUUUAGGAGACCACCAGUCGGAGCAGCCGCACCUCUCCACGAAACUCUCAUUCCUCCUCCGCUCUACCCGUUGCCUUCUCUUCCGUUUCCUUUCCUUCUCUCAUUUCUCCUUUUUCCAGCGAGCAACCAAGAACCACCAGUCCCAGUGACUAAGAUCAUUGGUCUUCCUCUUCUCCUUUAGUUGCCCCUCUCUUCUCCUCUCUCCUCUAUUCUAGCGACAACAACAACAUAAGAGUAGCAGCCACCAACGAACAACAAAACCACUGAUAUCCGUGGAGACCACCAACUUUGCAAGAGAAACCAAAAGUGGAAAGCUCCGACGAGGCAAGCCAUGCGAACAACAGAAGCCAAGCGCCACCCCGCUUACCUCUUCUUUGGUCAGUAACGGAAAAUAGCAACAACAACUCCUACCAAACGAGGCAAACAACAUGGAUUAUAAGACUUAGCCACAAGGAACCUUCUUGCCCACUACAAUUUCGGGUAUUCAACAUGGAGGUUCAAGAUAUUUAAGUGUCGCCAUGGUUGGGAAGUGCUAGACGAGCGAAAUUUAUUUAAUUUGUGUUUUGUGUGUUAUUUAAUUUCUGUUGUUGUCUUGUAAUAAUUUGUAUCACUCUAACUCUGUUCUAUAUAUAAUAUAUAUUUGAGGAGAUCGCACAAAGGUGGAGGGAAAUAUGUGCUAA